This 407-nucleotide ribosomal RNA is filed under the name uncultured bacterium. RNAcentral describes it as "partial 16S ribosomal RNA". It matches the Rfam family "Bacterial small subunit ribosomal RNA", at positions 30 to 526 of the family's 1533-position model. The record is from RNAcentral.
AUUGAACGCUGGCGGCAGGCCUAACACAUGCAAGUCGAGCGGAGCGACGGACGGGUGGGUAAUGCCUAGGAAUCUGACUGGUUGUGGGGGAUAACGUCCGGAAACGGGCGCUAAUACAGAAUACUAUCCGAUGAGCCUAGGUAGGAUUAGCUAGUUGGUGGGGUAAAGGCCUACCAAGGCGACGAUCCGUAACUGGUCUGAGAGGAUGAUCAGUCAAACUGGAACUGAGACACGGUCCAGACUCCUACGGGAGGCAGCAGUGGGGAAUAUUGGACAAUGGGCGAAAGCCUGAUCCAGCCAUGCCGCGUGUGUGAAGAAGGUCUUCGGAUUGUAAAGCACUUUAAGUGGGGAGGCGUUACUAACAGAAUAAGCACCGGCUAACUUCGUGCCAGCAGCCGCGGUAAUUC